GGUGUGUGAAAAGCUCAUGGUUGUAAAGCACUUUAAGCGAAGAGGAGGCUACUUUAGUUAAUACCUAGAGAUAGUGGACGUUACUCGCAGAAUAAGCACCGGCUAACUCUGUGCCAGCAGCCGCGGUAAUACAGAGGGUGCAAGCGUUAAUCGGAUUUACUGGGCGUAAAGCGCGCGUAGGCGGCUAAUUAAGUCAAAUGUGAAAUCCCCGAGCUUAACUUGGGAAUUGCAUUCGAUACUGGUUAGCUAGAGUGUGGGAGAGGAUGGUAGAAUUCCAGGUGUAGCGGUGAAAUGCGUAGAGAUCUGGAGGAAUACCGAUGGCGAAGGCAGCCAUCUGGCCUAACACUGACGCUGAGGUGCGAAAGCAUGGGGAGCAAACAGGAUUAGAUACCCUGGUAGUCCAUGCCGUAAACGAUGUCUACUAGCCGUUGGGGCCUUUGAGGCUUUAGUGGCGCAGCUAACGCGAUAAGUAGACCGCCUGGGGAGUACGGUCGCAAGACUAAAACUCAAAUGAAUUGACGGGGGCCCGCACAAGCGGUGGAGCAUGUGGUUUAAUUCGAUGCAACGCGAAGAACCUUACCUGGCCUUGACAUAGUAAGAACUUUUCCAGAGAUGGAUUGGUGCCUUCGGGAACUUUCAU
Molecule: ribosomal RNA, 640 nt
Filed under: uncultured bacterium
Lineage: Bacteria
Description: bacterial SSU rRNA
Rfam family: Bacterial small subunit ribosomal RNA
Source: RNAcentral